GGCAGGGCAGAAUUACAUCACCUAAGGAGGAGCAUCUGCAAGAUUUUUUCUUCUCAAAGCACAGAUCCUAAAGUCAUUUCUCCCUGAGGAGGAAGGUAGCUUUCCUUGUGACUUAAUGGCCCAGCAUCCCUGGUGUAUCUUGUUGUUCUCUUGCAGGUGGCUGAAGCUGAGGUGAAAAGACUAUUACCAUAGGAAAGUACUUCAGCUAUCUGAAGCAAGCAGAACUCUGCUGGAGAUGGAUUUGGCCAAAAUAAAGAUUUGGGUCUGAGUUUC
This 273-nucleotide long non-coding RNA is filed under the name Coturnix japonica (Japanese quail). RNAcentral describes it as "lncRNA (ENSCJPG00005009166.1)". The record is from RNAcentral. Lineage: Eukaryota; Metazoa; Chordata; Aves; Galliformes; Phasianidae.